UAUGUCAUGAAGAUUGGACAGAGCCAAACUGU
This 32-nucleotide non-coding RNA is filed under the name Mus musculus (house mouse). Lineage: Eukaryota; Metazoa; Chordata; Mammalia; Rodentia; Muridae. The record is from RNAcentral.